Non-coding RNA from Paramuricea clavata, 282 nucleotides. Lineage: Eukaryota; Metazoa; Cnidaria; Anthozoa; Malacalcyonacea; Plexauridae. The record is from the annotation of a GenBank genome assembly.
AGAAUAGCUGGAAAUGUACUUUUCCGCUUGUAAUUUUCAAAAUUUUCUGCGGCGGCGGGAGGCAUAGCCAAUAUGCAGACCCCAUAGAUUACUACCUUUGCCACAGCGAACAAAAUGCAUGCACAUCUUCAAGUACAGUAGAAUAGUUUUUGUUUCAGCUCAUUUAUGUGGUGAAAUAAUUAUUGGGAACUAUAGUAGUCUGGCUUGAAAACAAGGGAUUGCUGCAUGCAUAUAUUUCUAGUUUGUUUGUCUUAUUUACUUCCUGGCCAUUUUUAUGUCCGC